UGGGGAAUAUUGGACAAUGGGCGAAAGCCUGAUCCAGCCAUGCCGCGUGUGUGAAGAAGGUCUUCGGAUUGUAAAGCACUUUAAGUUGGGAGGAAGGGCAGUAAGCGAAUACCUUGCUGUUUUGACGUUACCGACAGAAUAAGCACCGGCUAACUCGGUGCCAGCAGCCGCGGUAAUACAGAGGGUGCAAGCGUUAAUCGGAAUUACUGGGCGUAAAGCGCGCGUAGGUGGUUCGUUAAGUUGAAUGUGAAAGCCCCGGGCUCAACCUGGGAACUGCAACCAAAACUGGCGAGCUAGAGUAGGGCAGAGGGUGGUGGAAUUUCCUGUGUAGCGGUGAAAUGCGUAGAUAUAGGAAGGAACACCAGUGGCGAAGGCGACCACCUGGGCUCAUACUGACACUGAGGUGCGAAAGCGUGGGGAGCAAACAGG
This 429-nucleotide ribosomal RNA is filed under the name Pseudomonadota bacterium. RNAcentral's name for it is "Proteobacteria bacterium partial 16S ribosomal RNA". It matches the Rfam family "Bacterial small subunit ribosomal RNA", at positions 355 to 776 of the family's 1533-position model. Lineage: Bacteria; Pseudomonadati; Pseudomonadota. The record is from RNAcentral.